Molecule: ribosomal RNA, 691 nt
Filed under: uncultured Gammaproteobacteria bacterium
Lineage: Bacteria; Pseudomonadati; Pseudomonadota; Gammaproteobacteria
Description: bacterial SSU rRNA
Rfam family: Bacterial small subunit ribosomal RNA
Source: RNAcentral
CAGGACUAGCUUGCUAGUUGCUGACGAGCGGCGGACGGGUGCGUAACACGUAGGAAUCUACCCAGUAGCGGGGGAUAGCCCGGAGAAAUCCGGAUUAAUACCGCAUACGCCCUACGGGGGAAAGCAGGGGAUCUUCGGACCUUGCACUAUUGGAUGAGCCUGCGUCGGAUUAGCUAGUUGGUGGGGUAAAGGCCUACCAAGGCAACGAUCCGUAGCUGGUCUGAGAGGAUGAUCAGCCACACUGGGACUGAGACACGGCCCAGACUCCUACGGGAGGCAGCAGUGGGGAAUAUUGCACAAUGGGCGCAAGCCUGAUGCAGCCAUGCCGCGUGUGUGAAGAAGGCUCUAGGGUUGUAAAGCACUUUCAGCGAGGAGGAAAGGUUGGUAAUUAAUACUUGCCAGCUGUGACGUUACUCGCAGAAGAAGCACCGGCUAACUCCGUGCCAGCAGCCGCGGUAAUACGGAGGGUGCAAGCGUUAAUCGGAAUUACUGGGCGUAAAGCGUGCGUAGGCGGCUGCCUAAGUUGGAUGUGAAAGCCCCGGGCUCAACCUGGGAACUGCAUCCAAAACUGGGCAGCUAGAGUGCGGAAGAGGAGUGUGGAAUUUCCUGUGUAGCGGUGAAAUGCGUAGAUAUAGGAAGGAACACCAGUGGCGAAGGCGACACUCUGGUCUGACACUGACGCUGAGGUACG